GACGAACGCUGGCGGCGUGCUUAACACAUGCAAGUCGAACGGAAAGGCCCUGCGUUUGUUGGGUGCUCGAUUGGCGAACGGGUGAGUAUCACGUGAGUAACCUGCCCUUGUCUUUCGGGUAACUUUAGGAAACUCGGGCUAAUACCGGAUAUGAUCUCUUGCUGCAUGGUGGGGGUUGGAAAGUUUCGGCGGUUGUGGCUGGUCUCGCGGCUUAUGAGCUUGUUGGUGGGGUAGUGGCUUACCAAGGUUUUGACGGGUAGCCGGCCUGAGAGGGUGACCGGCCACAUUGGGACUGAGAUACGGACCAGAAUCCUACGGGAGGCAGCAGUGGGGAAUAUUACACAAUGGGCGGGAGCCUGAUGUAACAACGCCGCGUGCGGGAUGACGGCCUUCGGGUUGUAAACCGCUUUCGCCGGUGACGAGGCGUGAGUGACGGUAAUGGGUAAAGAAGCACCGGCUAACUACGUG
RNAcentral lists this ribosomal RNA (468 nucleotides) under uncultured bacterium. RNAcentral describes it as "partial 16S ribosomal RNA". It matches the Rfam family "Bacterial small subunit ribosomal RNA", at positions 28 to 507 of the family's 1533-position model. The record is from RNAcentral.